GGUUCAAUGAUAAAUACAAAGGGACCCCUUCAUAGAUAAGUGGAUCCCUUAUCUAUGCUCUACUUAUAACCAAAUCUUAAUUAAGGAAAUCAUUGAAUUUUUGUUUUGUUCUGUAUUUACAAUUUCGAAAUAUGGCCAAUUUAGGAUGUUCUUUGAUGCAAGAAAUGAAAAAGACUGAGGAAGCUAUGCAGGAAUGUUAUGAACGGAUUAAAAAUAUAGAAAAAAAAAUGUUAGCCGAAGAUUUAUCACCUGAAAAAGAAAAGUCGAUGAGAAUAGAACUUGAGGAAGUUAAAAAAUUAUUAACAAGAAAUAGUGAUUUGCUGAAAAAAUUACAUAAAAACAAUAGGGGCAACUUUUUCAUAGCAUUCGGCGUCUUAUUUAUUUUUAUCUUGAUUUUCGUUUUCUUCAAAGCUGCGAAAGGAGAGUUAUGAUGAUUUCAUUACUAAAAUCUAAGUUACUGAAAAAGAGUUUUCUGGACUUGAAGUUCCUAAUAUUCCAACUAUUUACUAUCUUAUGUAAAUAAUGAGAGUUUCACCUUUCAAAAGCAAUAAUUACGAAAAAAUGUAUUCACUAUGUAGUUUAAAAGUUUUGGUACUUCAAACAUUAUUUAGAAUUCAUUACAUACAGUCCUCAUCUGUAAAAAUUUCUCUAUAUCUAACUCUUAAUUUAACUUUUCUUCAACAUACGUUAUUCUGCCAAAAAUGCAGAUUUUUUUUUAAUUGAUACAUGAGUAAAUAAUGAUUAUCCAACCUAAAUUGGUUCUCACAUACACUUAGAUUGUCAUAUCCUCCCAUUUCAUGUCCUCCGAAAACACUUUUUAUCUUGGCUUUUGUUUGCAAAAAUUCUAAUCCACGAACAUUCAAAACUGAUUGCAAUUGAAUUAAAUUUGAAAUCAAUUCAUUUUAUAUUAUUUUGAAAGAUUCAAUAAAAACUAAGAUGAUUCACAUACAUAUUUAAUUCCAUUUACAUAAAAUAUAAAAUUCCUUAAUAAAGGAAAAAUGUAUACAUUAAACAAUAAUAAAUUAUAUCAUGACUUACUAUAAAAAUAUAAUAUUUUCUACUUUAAAAUGAUUUAGAUUUAGAUUUUACUUGUUCAGUAAAGUUGGCAUUCCACUAAAUUUAUUGAAAACCUUCUUCUGCAAUUUCUGUUCUAUGGAAAUAUUUAUUUUUGAAAUUAAUCCUUCAAGAUCAUUUUCACUAUAUGUAUAUAAAAGUUUACAGUUAUUAGGCAGAAUAGAUUUUUUUUCAAUUUGUUCAAUGGCAUGAUCUAGACAAUAGUUCGCAUUUUCUUGUUUUUCAAUAACUGAUGAAAUAAAUAGAUUUGUUCUG
This is a long non-coding RNA of Harmonia axyridis, 1329 nucleotides long. RefSeq lists it as uncharacterized. NCBI's taxonomy places the organism in Eukaryota, Metazoa, Arthropoda, Insecta, Coleoptera, Coccinellidae. The record is from RefSeq and is a predicted model, not a curated record. The transcript has 2 exons.